Molecule: non-coding RNA, 45 nt
Organism: Lutzomyia longipalpis
Lineage: Eukaryota; Metazoa; Arthropoda; Insecta; Diptera; Psychodidae
Source: Rfam
AAAACCGCCCUUUUCAGGGCGAAAAAAAUAUUAAAUAAAGAGUUU